This 480-nucleotide ribosomal RNA is filed under the name Bifidobacterium breve. Its description in RNAcentral is "bacterial SSU rRNA". It matches the Rfam family "Bacterial small subunit ribosomal RNA", at positions 173 to 666 of the family's 1533-position model. Lineage: Bacteria; Bacillati; Actinomycetota; Actinomycetes; Bifidobacteriales; Bifidobacteriaceae. The record is from RNAcentral.
CUCCAUCACACCGCAUGGUGUGUUGGGAAAGCCUUUGCGGCAUGGGAUGGGGUCGCGUCCUAUCAGCUUGAUGGCGGGGUAACGGCCCACCAUGGCUUCGACGGGUAGCCGGCCUGAGAGGGCGACCGGCCACAUUGGGACUGAGAUACGGCCCAGACUCCUACGGGAGGCAGCAGUGGGGAAUAUUGCACAAUGGGCGCAAGCCUGAUGCACCGACGCCGCGUGAGGGAUGGAGGCCUUCGGGUUGUAAAAUUCUUUUGUUAGGGAGCAAGGCACUUUGUGUUGAGUGUACCUUUCGAAUAAGCACCGGCUAACUACGUGCCAGCAGCCGCGGUAAUACGUAGGGUGCAAGCGUUAUCCGGAAUUAUUGGGCGUAAAGGGCUCGUAGGCGGUUCGUCGCGUCCGGUGUGAAAGUCCAUCGCUUAACGGUGGAUCCGCGCCGGGUACGGGCGGGCUUGAGUGCGGUAGGGGAGACUGGAA